Molecule: ribosomal RNA, 492 nt
Filed under: uncultured bacterium
Lineage: Bacteria
Description: partial 16S ribosomal RNA
Rfam family: Bacterial small subunit ribosomal RNA
Source: RNAcentral
AGUGAACGCUGGCGGUAGGCCUAACACAUGCAAGUCGAACGGCAGCACAGUAAGAGCUUGCUCUUACGGGUGGCGAGUGGCGGACGGGUGAGGAAUACAUCGGAAUCUACUUUUUCGUGGGGGUUAACGUAGGGAAACUUACGCUAAUACCGCAUACGACCUACGGGUGAAAGCAGGGGAUCUUCGGACCUUUCGCGAUUGAAUGAGCCGAUGUCGGAUUAGCUAGUUGGCGGGGUAAAUGCCCACCAAGGCGACGGUCCGUAGCUGGUCUGAGAGGAUGGUCAGCCGCACUGGAACUGAGACACGGUCCAGACUCCUACGGGAGGCAGCAGUGGGGAAUAUUGGACAAUGGGCGCAAGCCUGAUCCAGCCAUACCGCGUGCGUGAAGAAGGCCUUCGGGUUGUAAAGCCCUUUUGUUGGGAAAGAAAAGCAGCAGGUUAAUACCCCGCUGUUCUGACGGUACCCAAAGAAUAAGCACCGGCUAACUUCGUG